This 253-nucleotide ribosomal RNA is filed under the name uncultured bacterium. RNAcentral describes it as "partial 16S ribosomal RNA". It matches the Rfam family "Bacterial small subunit ribosomal RNA", at positions 524 to 776 of the family's 1533-position model. The record is from RNAcentral.
UACGUAGGGGGCAAGCGUUGUCCGGAAUCAUUGGGCGUAAAGAGCGUGUAGGCGGCCCGGUCAGUCCGCCGUGAAAGUCCAGGGCUCAACCCUGGAAUGCCGGUGGAUACUGCCGGGCUGGAGUCCGGAAGAGGCGAGUGGAAUUCCUGGUGUAGCGGUGAAAUGCGCAGAUAUCAGGAGGAACACCAAUGGCGAAGGCAGCUCGCUGGGACGGUACUGACGCUGAGGAGCGAAAGCAUGGGGAGCGAACAGG